GUUCUGGAGGCCAAGAAGUCCAAGAUCAAGGCACCAAGUGAUGCAGCAUCUGCACUUUGUUGAAGCAAACUGCCCUCUGGAUAGACUGUCGGGGCAAGGAAUUGAGCAUCCUCACCAGUGGGGAAAGGAAGCCUGCAACCCAAUAGCCAAGCAGGAAUUGGCCUUGCCAGCAUUCAUGUGAAUGAGCUUGGAGGUGAAUUAUUCAACAGGAGAUGAAAGCAGCACCUGCUGAGCCAUGUCUGGAUUCCUCACCCACAGAAACCGUGAGAUAAUAAAUCCUGUCUGGCUGUCCUAGGUGGAGGAUAGACAACACCUGUGAAAACCGAGAGGGUGGAAGAUAUCACAUGAAGGUAGAAUCCCAGAAAU
This is a long non-coding RNA of Callithrix jacchus (white-tufted-ear marmoset), 366 nucleotides long. RefSeq lists it as uncharacterized. The record is from RefSeq and is a predicted model, not a curated record. Lineage: Eukaryota; Metazoa; Chordata; Mammalia; Primates; Cebidae.